This 429-nucleotide ribosomal RNA is filed under the name Pseudomonadota bacterium. Its description in RNAcentral is "Proteobacteria bacterium partial 16S ribosomal RNA". It matches the Rfam family "Bacterial small subunit ribosomal RNA", at positions 355 to 776 of the family's 1533-position model. Lineage: Bacteria; Pseudomonadati; Pseudomonadota. The record is from RNAcentral.
UGGGGAAUAUUGGACAAUGGGCGAAAGCCUGAUCCAGCCAUGCCGCGUGUGUGAAGAAGGUCUUCGGAUUGUAAAGCACUUUAAGUUGGGAGGAAGGGCAGUAAGCGAAUACCUUGCUGUUUUGACGUUACCGACAGAAUAAGCACCGGUUAACUCUGUGCCAGCAGCCGCGGUAAUACAGAGGGUGCAAGCGUUAAUCGGAAUUACUGGGCGUAAAGCGCGCGGAGGUGGUUCGUUAAGUUGAAUGUGAAAGCCCCGGGCUCAACCUGGGAACUGCAUCGAAAACUGGCGAGCUAGAGUAGAGCAGAGGGUGGUGGAAUUUCCUGUGUAGCGGUGAAAUGCGUAGAUAUAGGAAGGAACACCAGUGGCGAAGGCGACCACCUGGGCUCAUACUGACACUGAGGUGCGAAAGCGUGGGGAGCAAACAGG